UUAAAUCAAGUUGAACAAAUUUGAUCAAUCUUGAAAUGAGAUAAUAACCAUGAAUGGAUGACUAUGCCAAUUCCUUGCCACUUAAGAAAUGAUGAACAUUUUUAAAUCUCCUUUGAAUUUUCUUUACAAAAGUGAACUUUUUAUUCCAUGGUAACAAUGCCUUGAUUAUACACUUUAAUUCAAGCACAAUCAUCCUUGAAUUCAUCACUUGUAAUUGAUGUGGAACAAACUUACAUGUCUGAGGAUGUUGAAAACAAACAUCCACCUUGAAUUCAC
RNAcentral lists this long non-coding RNA (276 nucleotides) under Lathyrus oleraceus (garden pea). RNAcentral's name for it is "Pisum sativum (pea) long non-coding RNA (PSAT_LNC022044)". Lineage: Eukaryota; Viridiplantae; Streptophyta; Magnoliopsida; Fabales; Fabaceae. The record is from RNAcentral.